RNAcentral lists this ribosomal RNA (274 nucleotides) under uncultured bacterium. RNAcentral describes it as "partial 16S ribosomal RNA". It matches the Rfam family "Bacterial small subunit ribosomal RNA", at positions 523 to 796 of the family's 1533-position model. The record is from RNAcentral.
AUACGAAGGGUGCAAGCGUUGUUCGGAUUUACUGGGCGUAAAGCGCGCGCAGGCGGAUUGCUAAGUCAGAUGUGAAAUCUCGGGGCUCAACCUCGAAACUGCGUCUGAAACUGGUAAUCUAGAGUAUCGGAGGGGGAAGUGGAAUUUCGCAUGUAGGGGUAAAAUCCGUAGAGAUGCGAAGGAACACCAGUGGCGAAGGCGACUUCCUGGACGAUCACUGACGCUGAGGCGCGAAAGCGUGGGUAGCAAACAGGAUUAGAAACCCUAGUAGUCC